This 704-nucleotide long non-coding RNA is filed under the name Hordeum vulgare. RNAcentral's name for it is "long non-coding RNA (HVUL_LNC006397)". The record is from RNAcentral. Lineage: Eukaryota; Viridiplantae; Streptophyta; Magnoliopsida; Poales; Poaceae.
AGAGCUAACUACAGCAAAGCAAGGGAGCACCACAACCUCGUAUUCAGAUUUCUUGAUAGACAGGAUCAGAUUAACACCAGAAGAUGAUGCAGGCCGCCGUUGCUUUGUCGGCCGUGCUGCCCGUCGCCCUAAGGUGCAGGCCGGCGGCGAGGAGGAGCAGCAGCGCCACCGUUGCCGGCGGCAGAAGGAUUGUGGGUGGCGGUGGCGUCCGUGCGUCGGCCGCGGCGGCGCCGGAGGCGGACUACAGCUCCAAUGUCUCGUACGUUUUCUCUCCCUCCUCCUUGGUCAGUCACUGGUUGAGCUUGAGCCGAGCCGAUCAUCAUCUAUGUCAUCUGGUGGUUGCCAUAUCGUCCGGCCAAUGCGGGGCGCAGGGUGUUCCCCAUGGAGGCCUGCGACCUGGUCGGCGGCGAGGCGUGCGACGCGCAGAUGUACCCGGAGACGAAGCUCGGCGGCGGCGCUGCUGCUGCUGCCGUCGCGAGGGCGCCGGAGGUGGAGAGGGAGUACCUGGCCUACGACGAGCCAAAAACGUACGUAAUCCUUGAUGCGUACACAAUUUUGUUAGCUGUAUCGUAGCACCUGUCAAUGUCAUUAACUGGAAACUGUGUAUAUGGAACUAUGGAUGGAUGGAUGGAUGCAGGGUGUUCCCGGACGAGGCGUGCGACGAUCUUGGCGGUGAGUUCUGCGAGGCGCCAUACCAAACCAGC